UUGGUUUUGAACUCCUGGACUCAAGCAUCCUCCGGCCUUGGCCUCCCAGUGUUGGGAUUGCAGGUAUGAGCUGCCGUGCCUGGCUGGAUUGCAUUUUAGUAUAUUUGUCACAUCUUGUUCUUCAAAAUCUCCUGGUUCUAGAUGAAAUAGCACAAAAACUGGCAUCAGAAAGUGAAGUGGUCUGAAGAAUCCAGACACAGAACUCCUGCACUUCUUCAUCAGGAGACCCACAGAGCUUCCCACGCAACCAUGGCCUCAAAGGGAGUCUUGGAUGCUGAUUCUUUUGAAGAUGCAUUUUUUAAACAAAAGGGAUUCCCCUAUAUGCUGGUGUGCCUGACAAUUCUUUCUUUUCCACCACUUCAUAGAGAACUUUCAGACAAAUGUCCAUUUGUACCUAUCAGGCCAUACGUUGCUAAAUAAAUAAAUAAAUCUU
Molecule: long non-coding RNA, 433 nt
Filed under: Homo sapiens (human)
Lineage: Eukaryota; Metazoa; Chordata; Mammalia; Primates; Hominidae
Description: HSALNT0163474
Source: RNAcentral